CCGUUAGCUCAGUGGACAGAGCGCCUGGUUACGAGCCAGGAUGUCGCAGGUUCGAGUCCUGCACGGUCCA
This 70-nucleotide transfer RNA is filed under the name Trueperella pyogenes. Its description in RNAcentral is "tRNA-Arg". It matches the Rfam family "tRNA". From Rfam's summary of the family: Transfer RNA (tRNA) molecules are approximately 80 nucleotides in length. Their secondary structure includes four short double-helical elements and three loops (D, anti-codon, and T loops). Lineage: Bacteria; Bacillati; Actinomycetota; Actinomycetes; Actinomycetales; Actinomycetaceae. The record is from RNAcentral.